RNAcentral lists this ribosomal RNA (463 nucleotides) under Streptococcus mitis. Its description in RNAcentral is "bacterial SSU rRNA". It matches the Rfam family "Bacterial small subunit ribosomal RNA", at positions 28 to 475 of the family's 1533-position model. The record is from RNAcentral. Lineage: Bacteria; Bacillati; Bacillota; Bacilli; Lactobacillales; Streptococcaceae.
GACGAACGCUGGCGGCGUGCCUAAUACAUGCAAGUAGAACGCUGAAGGAGGAGCUUGCUUCUCUGGAUGAGUUGCGAACGGGUGAGUAACGCGUAGGUAACCUGCCUGGUAGCGGGGGAUAACUAUUGGAAACGAUAGCUAAUACCGCAUAACAGUAGAUGUUGCAUGACAUUUGCUUAAAAGGUGCAAUUGCAUCACUACCAGAUGGACCUGCGUUGUAUUAGCUAGUUGGUGGGGUAACGGCUCACCAAGGCGACGAUACAUAGCCGACCUGAGAGGGUGAUCGGCCACACUGGGACUGAGACACGGCCCAGACUCCUACGGGAGGCAGCAGUAGGGAAUCUUCGGCAAUGGACGGAAGUCUGACCGAGCAACGCCGCGUGAGUGAAGAAGGUUUUCGGAUCGUAAAGCUCUGUUGUAAGAGAAGAACGAGUGUGAGAGUGGAAAGUUCACACUGUGACGG